AUUGAACGCUGGCGGAAUGCUUUACACAUGCAAGUCGAACGGCAGCACGGGGGCAACCCUGGUGGCGAGUGGCGAACGGGUGAGUAAUACAUCGGAACGUGCCCAGUCGUGGGGGAUAACGUAGCGAAAGUUACGCUAAUACCGCAUACGAUCUACGGAUGAAAGCGGGGGACCGUAAGGCCUCGCGCGAUUGGAGCGGCCGAUGUCGGAUUAGGUAGUUGGUGAGGUAAAGGCUAACCAAGCCGACGAUCUGUAGCUGGUCUGAGAGGACGACCAGCCACACUGGGACUGAGACACGGCCCAGACUCCUACGGGAGGCAGCAGUGGGGAAUUUUGGACAAUGGGCGCAAGCCUGAUCCAGCCAUUCCGCGUGCAGGACGAAGGCCUUCGGGUUGUAAACUGCUUUUGUACGGAACGAAAAGGCUCUGGUUAAUACCUGGGGCUCAUGACGGUACCGUAAGAAUAAGCACCGGCUAACUACGUGCCAGCAGCCGCCGUAA
This 500-nucleotide ribosomal RNA is filed under the name uncultured bacterium. RNAcentral's name for it is "partial 16S ribosomal RNA". It matches the Rfam family "Bacterial small subunit ribosomal RNA", at positions 30 to 523 of the family's 1533-position model. The record is from RNAcentral.